This 202-nucleotide ribosomal RNA is filed under the name uncultured bacterium. Its description in RNAcentral is "partial 16S ribosomal RNA". It matches the Rfam family "Bacterial small subunit ribosomal RNA", at positions 328 to 539 of the family's 1533-position model. The record is from RNAcentral.
ACGCUCGACACCUACGGGAGGUAGCAGUGGGGAAUAUUGGGCAAUGGGCGCAAGCCUGACCCAGCAACGCCGCGUGAAGGAAGAAGGCCCUCGGGUUGUAAACUUCUUUUCUUGGGGACGAAGCAAGUGACGGUACCCAAGGAAUAAGCCACGGCUAACUACGUGCCAGCAGCCGACGGUAAUCUGAGCGGGCUGGCAAGGC